RNAcentral lists this ribosomal RNA (460 nucleotides) under uncultured bacterium. RNAcentral describes it as "partial 16S ribosomal RNA". It matches the Rfam family "Bacterial small subunit ribosomal RNA", at positions 338 to 795 of the family's 1533-position model. The record is from RNAcentral.
CCUACGGGUGGCAGCAGUGAGGAAUAUUUGUCAAUGGACGAGAGUCUGAACCAGCCAAGUAGCGUGAAGGAUGACUGCCCUAUGGGUUGUAAACUUCUUUUAUAUGGGAAUAAAAUGUUCCACGUGUGGGAUUUUGUAUGUACCAUAUGAAUAAGGAUCGGCUAACUCCGUGCCAGCAGCCGCGGUAAUACGGAGGAUCCGAGCGUUAUCCGGAUUUAUUGGGUUUAAAGGGAGCGUAGGUGGAUUGUUAAGUCAGUUGUGAAAGUUUGCGGCUCAACCGUAAAAUUGCAGUUGAAACUGGCAGUCUUGAGUACAGUAGAGGUGGGCGGAAUUCGUGGUGUAGCGGUGAAAUGCUUAGAUAUCACGAAGAACUCCGAUUGCGAAGGCAGUUCACUGGACUGCAACUGACACUGAGGCUCGAAAGUGUGGGUAUCAAACAGGAUUAGAUACCCUAGUAGUC